Molecule: ribosomal RNA, 497 nt
Filed under: uncultured bacterium
Lineage: Bacteria
Description: partial 16S ribosomal RNA
Rfam family: Bacterial small subunit ribosomal RNA
Source: RNAcentral
GAUGAACGCUGGCGGCGUGCCUAAUACAUGCAAGUCGAGCGAACGGACGAGAAGCUUGCUUCUCUGAUGUUAGCGGCGGACGGGUGAGUAACACGUGGAUAACCUACCUAUAAGACUGGGAUAACUUCGGGAAACCGGAGCUAAUACCGGAUAAUAUUUUGAACCGCAUGGUUCAAAAGUGAAAGACGGUCUUGCUGUCACUUAUAGAUGGAUCCGCGCUGCAUUAGCUAGUUGGUAAGGUAACGGCUUACCAAGGCAACGAUGCAUAGCCGACCUGAGAGGGUGAUCGGCCACACUGGAACUGAGACACGGUCCAGACUCAUACGGGAGGCAGAAGUAGGGAAUCUUCCGAAAUGGGCGAAAGCCUGAAGGAGCAUCGCAGCAUGAGUGAUGAAGGUCUUCGGAUCGUAAAACUCUGUUAUUAGGGAAGAACAUAUGUGUAAGUAACUGUGCACAUCUUGACGGUACCUAAUCAGAAAGCCACGGCUAACUACGUG